RNAcentral lists this ribosomal RNA (55 nucleotides) under Acaena magellanica. RNAcentral describes it as "partial 18S ribosomal RNA". It matches the Rfam family "Eukaryotic small subunit ribosomal RNA", at positions 1777 to 1831 of the family's 1831-position model. The record is from RNAcentral. Lineage: Eukaryota; Viridiplantae; Streptophyta; Magnoliopsida; Rosales; Rosaceae.
AGGAAUGAGAAGUCUUAACAAGGUUUCCGUAGGUGAACCUAAGGAAGGAUCAUUG